RNAcentral lists this long non-coding RNA (2968 nucleotides) under Triticum aestivum (bread wheat). RNAcentral's name for it is "long non-coding RNA (TAES_LNC009604)". The record is from RNAcentral. Lineage: Eukaryota; Viridiplantae; Streptophyta; Magnoliopsida; Poales; Poaceae.
UAUAAGUCUCGCAUUGCAAUUGGGCAUGUUAUCGGCCAAUUGGCUGUUCCUUCACUCAAGUUCUCGGUAUAAUUUUGUCUAACAGCAUGACCACUACUUCUCAUGCAUCCAUCCUCAAUAGUAUUAAUUACAACAACAAAGUUCAAAUAAAGAGCUUUACAAAUAUGAUUAAUACUUGUUAGAAAAAGCAAGCAGUAUUUCCUUUGGACGCCCAUGAUCUCUGAUCGUCGCUAAUUCUUGGUAGAUCAUCUUCACUUCAAAUCAUCUGUCGAUAUCUUCAACCGCCUCAGAGAAAUAAACAGAUUGGUCCUUAUUAGCACCCUUACAAACCUAUUCCCACAGAGAAAAAAAAAUGGGAGAACAAACUUGACUGCGUUAGUGGCUGACGAAGGUAUAAAUUUUACUGGACCAUGCAGACAGAGAGAUGUACUACAGUGUUCAAGGCAAUAGUGUCGGUUGGGCACAUUUAUAGGCACAAAAAAAUGACAGAAUCUAUUAUGCCAUGAUGGAAUUGCAGUCUGCACCAGCAGCAGGUAUUAUAAAAUAGAGUAGCUUUCGUUUACCUCGAAACCUCGGCUAGUUAGAGAAUCUUGGAGAACUUCUCCAGGUAUGUUCAUUCAUUAAGACAAUCCAGGAAGCAAUUGAUUAAAGAGGGUUUAUUCUGCCGAUGAUGGCGCUCACCUUCAUAAUAGAUUUUGGCUUAGAUGCUUGUAGACCAACUACAGAUUUUGGCUUCUUGCCAUGCCAAGCAACCAAGGAUAUAACAGCCAUCCUGCGCUCCCCCUGCACCUAAAUCAUAGAGGCAUAGUAAGGAAAACAAGUAAAUCUGAAGAAACAAGGCUGAAGGAAACAAGAAAAUGCGCUGACCCACCUUGUCCCCACAAAUACCCAACCUAGAUCAAACCCUAGUCAAAGUCCUUGCUCUUCUUGACCGCUCCGUCUUCACUGCCCAUCUCCUCCCCUCUCGUCCCCUCCCCUCCACCAUUGCCUGCUCCAGCAGCAGAUCCAGCAAGGAAUCCGACCCAAUCGACUGGGCGGCACUCGUCAAGGAGGUCUCCAGCUCCUCCGCCCCAGACGAUGGAAGUCACGCUUCGCAUUGACCUUAGCCGGUCGCGGAUGGACAGGGGCGGGAGCAGUAGUUCCGCAGCCUCCAUGGUUUUGGCACCCUACAACCACAAUUGCGAUUCACUUCCCACUGAUUUAGUCUACAAUAGGUCUAAAUAAAAUAGUAACAACAUAACCAAAUGUCAAUACAUGAUUGUAUGAACAGAGUAAAAAAUAUGAUAAAGAAAUAUCAGACUACAAUCUCCCAAAAGGUCAAACCAAUGCACUACAGUGGGUGUCCUGUGCAAAAUGAAACUAGAAACCAGGGAUAGGGAAGACACUACGAAAGGGAAAAGAAUAAAGAGAACUACCACUACCAGAGCGUGGAUAUUCAUAUCAUGUCCAACUUGUUCGCCAUCCAUCCGCCCCCCCUAACUUUGCAGAACAGCUCCAUGAUCAUUAACCAUAGCACAUGAUUUUUCUUUGUUCCUUUUUACCGAAAAAGGCUCUUGCCCCGCUUUAUAUAUAAAGCACUGACCAUCAGACAAAUCGAUACAAACGCACACACCACCACACACGACACACGCACCCAAGGCAAGAUACAUAGGUGCCGGGCACCGCCACACCACCCCAACGCUACCAAGCAUGGCCACCGAGGAGGGGUGAGACAUCCCACGACGGAGCACGGACUCCAAGACAGUGCCUCCAAGAAGGGAAACGACUACAAAGCGGCGCCACCGUCCGAUCCCAAAGAUCAAGUUUUCACCCGGAGCGACGCGAUGGGGAGGGAACAACCGCGACGGGGCCUUCAAGAAGGGAACGACGUCCGCGGACGCCGCCGCCGUCGGCCAGUACAACUGGGCAAGUAAUACACCCCGGCUCACCCCCCGCCAUUGCACCCAAGCUUCGCCGACCACCAGCACCCAUGCCACCCGCAUGGCCAUGGCUGCCUGCCCGCACCUGAGACGCUCGCUCCGCCCACAAACGCUGCGCCUCCCACCUCCAGGGCCGCCACCCUGAAUCCAAACACCCCCGGGACCAGCCAAAGGCCUUGGCUUUGGUCCAAUCGGCAGCCCAAAACCAACUGAACAACAGUAGGCGCCCCGCCUCAAAAAUCGCCGGAGUUGCGGCCGCGCGCACUCGGCCAAGGAAAGGGGGAGGAGGGGGAGCGGACGCAUCCGGACCGGCACACCCCUGUGCCAGCGACGGGUGGCCCGACCUCAUCGGCACCUCCCAUCCCUCCAGCCAACCUCCCCACCGGACACCCCCUGUGUCGCCCCACCACGGCGCCGGUGCAGAUCCGCGUGAGGCCACUGAUGACCACCUGUUCACCAGCAAGGGACACCCAUCCACCAGUACCAAGCGCCAAGGAUGCUCACCAGGGAGUUAACCCGCGCUGCUCGCCGCCGUCCAACCGCCAGAAUCAGCUGGAGUCCGGCUAGCACGCCAACCAGCCCGCCUCUGCUGCGCCUCCACCACCACCGGCCAGGGCCAAGCCAUGGGGUGGACGCCCGCAGCCUGCGCCGCCCGCGGCCCGCGCCGCCUGCGCCAGAUCUGACUGCGCCGGCGCAGCAGCCACCUCUGAGCCCCAGGCGCGCCCAACCGCCAAGCUGCCUGUCGCGCAGCAGCGAAGACGCAGGGACGCCGCGCCCGUCCGCUGCUCCGCCGUGACGCCCAGCACCGCGACGCGCUCCGGCCCGGAGCGCCGGCCCGCGCCGGCCCAACGCGAGCGGGAAGACCAAGAGGCCCCGCCGCCGCCGGCAACGGCUGGGCUUCGCCCGGCCGCGCCCUUAGGCGGCGGCGAGGGAGGAGGACGAAGGGAGGGAGGCAAGGGCCGGGGACGAUCUAGGGUUUCCCCCCGGUCGCCUCACGGGGGGCGACACGGGAGGGAGGGAGGGGCCUUUUCCCCUUUGUUCCUUUUGAG